CGGCCGCUGAACCCGAGGAUGUGCAUUCGAUUGUUCGAGAUCUGAACAGUCUGGCCCUCACCUUCCCGGCCUUUUGUGCUGGGACAAGGCCAGUCAGUGCUGUGAGCUCCUGCCAGGGGUGACUUGGUUUAAUCAAACCACUGUGUGCCUGGGGGAGCUCCCCGCCUGCCCCGAUUAUACGUGCAUCCCCCCUGCGCUGCUUCGCACCCCCCCAGUCACAUUCAUCCGAUUUCGUUACAUUUCAGAGCACAACACAGGAGGGUCGGAUGCAAACCGCGCAGCUUCUGUCUCGGAGAACAUCGAGUCCACGCACGGCAGCUGCUCCGGCCCCGCUUGGCCUUGGGCUGAAGGCACCGUGUGGUUUUGGGUCUGGUGUGGUGGGAGCAGGAGGGCCCGGUCACCUCCCCUUCCUGCUUCCAGCUCUGUCCGUUCCCAGUUGGUGCCACUGCCCAGCCUCCCCCGGUCACUGCCCUCUGACCUGUGGGGUGGCCUCCCAGGCACAUUCUCCAGAGGUGGGGCCUUCUCAGCACUUCGAAGGGCCAGCUUGGUCACUUUACGUAUCUCCAGAAAGACUCCAGGCGCCGGUAACAGCCACCCCCCAGACGAGACGUGCCUGCAGACGAAGCCAAACCUCCCCAGAAACAGAAAAUGCCCUGGGCUGAGACCCAUCAGGGAGGCGGUGGGGGAGAAGCAGAGCUUCAGGGCUGUGGCCACUUUAAUGGAAUCUGUCUGUCAUGAUAAGGAAGUGGAGAGUCUCUCAGCGCUCUACAGGCAAGCUUGGGGCUCGAGCCAUGGGUUUUCUGAAAAAACAUUAUUGGAUAAGGAAAAUAAAAAUCGCUUGUCGUACUUUUCAACAUUUUCAUUCUGUCUCACUUAAGGUUGGGUAAAUGUUUAUAUUUUUUGCCCUUUCGUAAUUUGUUCUUCUAAUUGUGGCAAAAUGUGGGUAACACAAAGUCUGCCGCACGGGGUUUC
Molecule: long non-coding RNA, 972 nt
Filed under: Vulpes vulpes (red fox)
Lineage: Eukaryota; Metazoa; Chordata; Mammalia; Carnivora; Canidae
Description: lncRNA (ENSVVUG00000016033.1)
Source: RNAcentral